AUUGAACGCUGGCGGCAUGCUUUACACAUGCAAGUCGAACGGUAACAGGCCGCAAGGUGCUGACGAGUGGCGAACGGGUGAGUAAUGCAUCGGAACGUGCCCAGUCGUGGGGGAUAACUACUCGAAAGAGUAGCUAAUACCGCAUACGAUCUAUGGAUGACAGCGGGGGACCGUAAGGCCUCGCGCGAUUGGGGCGGCCGAUGUCAGAUUAGGUAGUUGGUGGGGUAAAGGCUCACCAAGGCAACGAUCUGUAGCUGGUCUGAGAGGACGACCAGCCACACUGGGACUGAGACACGGCCCAGACUCCUACGGGAGGCAGCAGUGGGGAAUUUUGGACAAUGGGCGCAAGCCUGAUCCAGCAAUGCCGCGUGCAGGAAGAAGGCCUUCGGGUUGUAAACUGCUUUUGUACGGAACGAAACGGCUCUGGUUAAUACCCGGGGCUAAUGACGGUACCGUAAGAAUAAGCACCGGCUAACUACGUG
This 482-nucleotide ribosomal RNA is filed under the name uncultured bacterium. RNAcentral describes it as "partial 16S ribosomal RNA". It matches the Rfam family "Bacterial small subunit ribosomal RNA", at positions 30 to 507 of the family's 1533-position model. The record is from RNAcentral.